AUGGGUUCUCCGAGAAAAUCCGACAAGAAGGCCGCCUUAGACUUUGCAGCAUGGGGUUUCAAUAUCACCUCAUCCGUUGGGAUCAUCAUGGUCAACAAAGCCUUAAUGGCUACACAUGGAUUCAGUUUUGCCACAACAUUAACUGGCCUUCAUUUAUUGACAACGACCUUGAUGACUAUUGUGUUUCGGUGGUUAGGCCUGAGCCAGCCCUCUCACUUACCGCUACCAGAUCUGAUUAAGUUUGUAAUCUUUUCAAAUUUGUCGAUCGUUGGCAUGAAUGUGAGCUUGAUGUGGAAUUCUGUGGGGUUUUAUCAGAUAGCAAAGCUGUGCAUGAUACCCGCAUCAUGUCUUCUGGAGGUUGUCUUUGAUCGUGUACAUUAUUCACGGGACACAAAGCUGAGCAUAAUGGUUGUGCUUGUAGGCGUUGCAGUUUGCACUGUUACUGAUGUCAGUGUGAAUGCAAAAGGCAUGCUUGCAGCUGUUAUAGCUGUUUGGAGCACAGCUUUCCAGCAAUAUUAUGUUCAUUAUCUCCAACGGAAGUACUCUCUGAACUCAUUCAAUCUCCUAAGCCACACUGCUCCAGCCCAAGCAGGUUCCCUCCUGUUAGUAGGGCCCUUUGUGGAUUUCUUGUUGACUGGCAAAAGGGUGGAUCACUUCAAUUUCACAUCACUUUCUUUGUUAUUCGUCGUACUCUCAUGCAUCAUCGCUAUCGGCGUUAAUCUGAGCCAGUUCAUCUGCAUCGGCCGGUUCUCCGCUGUGUCUUUCCAAGUCUUAGGCCACAUGAAGACUGUGCUGGUCCUGUUCCUUGGCUUUCUCUUCUUUGGCAAGGAGGGCCUGAACCUUCAUGUAGUCCUUGGGAUGAUCCUCGCUGUUCUUGGAAUGAUGUGGUAUGGGAACGCAUCAGCGAAACCAGGCGGCAAAGAGCGUCGGAGUGUCCUCCCAGUGAGGUCCGACAGGCACAAUGGAGGUUCAGAAGACAAGGAUGGCGGUGAUAAGUGA
RNAcentral lists this ribosomal RNA (999 nucleotides) under Triticum aestivum (bread wheat). RNAcentral's name for it is "partial small subunit ribosomal RNA". Lineage: Eukaryota; Viridiplantae; Streptophyta; Magnoliopsida; Poales; Poaceae. The record is from RNAcentral.